RNA transcript from Rosa rugosa (rugosa rose), 1152 nucleotides. It is a transcript of the gene named disease resistance protein RPV1-like, with no coding region annotated. The record is from RefSeq and is a predicted model, not a curated record. The transcript has 2 exons. Lineage: Eukaryota; Viridiplantae; Streptophyta; Magnoliopsida; Rosales; Rosaceae.
UGUUGCUAUAUAAAUAUGCUCUCUAUAUGCAUGUAUAAUUCCUUUUAGCUUGUGAGCAGUUGUAUUAAUGGUAAGUUUGUACAGAUUGUAACCUCUUUAUAGAAGAAAUUAGCUAUAAUGGGGAAAUGUACUGUUUACGUAGUUUUAUGUUUUUUUAUUCUCUGUAAGACUAUAAUUCCACGGGAUUGUUUCAUUUUCUGGGCAAAAAGGCUCGUAUUUGUUAAAUGUAUGUACGUCGCACUCUCAUUGCUUGAAACGAUAUUCAAAUGGACCCGAGGAUUAGCUCUUUCAGCUGAUCUGUGUCCCUGGGAAUAUGAUGUGUUUUUGAGUUUCACAGGAGAAACCCGCAAGGGUUUCACAGACCACCUGUACCGUGCAUUGAAGAGGCGAGGAGUCAAUGUUUUCAGGGACCAACAACUUGAAAGAGGCACAACUCUUUCUUCAGAGCUCUUGACUGUGAUCGAGGAGUCGAGGUUUGCAGUCAUCGUCCUCUCGCAACAUUACGCUUCCUCCACUUGGUGUUUAGAUGAACUUUCAAAAGUUUUUGAAUGCAUGGAAGUCAGGGGCACAAUACUGCCCAUUUUUUAUAAGGUGAAGCCCUCCAAUGUACGAAGACUAAGGGGAAAUUUUGCAAGAGCCUUCUACAAGCAUGAAUACACUAACAUAGCAAAAGUGCAAAGAUGGAGAAGUGCUUUUACAAGAGUGGGCGGUAUCGCUGGAUGGAUAUCAGAUGAUUGGUAGGUAUGAGUCUGAGCUUAUCGAAAAAAUUGUAGACUGUGUGUGCGACGCAUUGUAGUUGAAUCCAAAAAUCAGAGACUCGACGCUGAAGUCCAAUAAUGAUGAUAUGAACCUGUCAAAAGUUCAAGAGAAGGGAGAUCAAUUAACUUAAGUGCUAUCAAGGCUAAUCAGGAAGGUCUAUUUGAUAGUUAAAUAGAUUCUCGUCCGGUCAAUAUGCCACUACAUUUAGCAGUAGUACUGAAGAGAGAAGAGAUUUGGCCAAUGGAUCUAGAUCAAAAUGUUGACCAACACCUUGGUCUAACUAAGAUCUAUUGAUCUAAAUAUCAAUUGGGGCAAUCGGUCCACCGCUGAGCAAUCCACCGCUGAGCAAUAAACGAAGUCAUGGAGGAAGAAAGUAAUGUUAAUCAACUUUGG